This 632-nucleotide ribosomal RNA is filed under the name Acarospora intermedia. Its description in RNAcentral is "SSU rRNA". It matches the Rfam family "Bacterial small subunit ribosomal RNA", at positions 411 to 1107 of the family's 1533-position model. Lineage: Eukaryota; Fungi; Ascomycota; Lecanoromycetes; Acarosporales; Acarosporaceae. The record is from RNAcentral.
AAGCUAGUUGUAUUAUUAGUUAAUGCAAGAUCGACUAGUGCAGUUCUAGGUAGAAUAAUGAUGAUGACAAUUUUUUACUAUAUGUCUUGACCAAGUCUCGUGCCAGCAGUCGCGGUAAUACGUGGAAGACUAGUGUUAUUCAUCUUUAUUAGGUUUAAAGGGUACCUAGACGGUAUUUCUAGCCCAAAAUAGGGUACGGAUUUACUAGAGUUUUAUGUGAGGAGGGGAGUACUCAUAGAGUAGAGAUGAAAUUUUGUUAUACUAUGAGGUAACUGGUGGCGGCGAAAGCAACCUUCUAUGUAUAAACUGACGUUGAGGGACGAAGGCUUGGGUAGCAAAUAGGAUUAGAUACCCUAGUAGUCCAAGCAGACAAUUCUGAAUGCCAUAGAUUAGAUUAUUUUUGGUCUAUAAAUGAAAGUGUAAGCAUUCCACCUUAGGAGUAAUGUGGCAACACAGGAACUGAAAUCAUUAGACCGUUUCUGAAACCAGUAGUGAAGUAUGUUAUUUAAAUUGAUGGUCCACAAAAAACCUUACCACAACUUGAAUAUUUUUAAUUUAUACAAGCGUUGCACGGCUGUCUUCAGUUAAUGUCGUGAGAUUUUGGUUAACUCCAUUAAUUAACGUAAACCCUU